This 1618-nucleotide ribosomal RNA is filed under the name Pseudhymenochirus merlini (Merlin's clawed frog). RNAcentral's name for it is "large subunit ribosomal RNA". It matches the Rfam family "Bacterial large subunit ribosomal RNA". Lineage: Eukaryota; Metazoa; Chordata; Amphibia; Anura; Pipidae. The record is from RNAcentral.
GCCAUAAUUAUAGCCCACCCCAUGAACAACUAAUGUGCAAUACAAAUAAACACACACAAACUAAAACAUUUUAUUUCUUAAGUAUAGGUGAUAAAAAAGGAUCAAAGAGCAAUAAACAAGUACCGCAAGGGAAAUAUGAAAUAGAAAUGAAAAAUUAACAAAAGCAAGUAAAAGCAGAGAUUCAAUCUCGUACCUUUUGCAUCAUGGUCUAGCAAGUCAAAUUCAAGCAAAACGCAUUUAAGUUUGACUCCCCGAAACUAAGUGAGCUACUCCGAGGCAGCUAAUUGAGCAAACCCCUCUCUGUGGCAAAAGAGUGGAAAGACCUCCGAGUAGGGGUGACAGACCUAACGAACUUAGUGAUAGCUGGUUGCUUAAGAAAAGAAUAUAAGUUCUACUCUAAGCAUUUUUAACACCAACAAGUAACCAUUAUGCUUAGAAGCUAUUCAAUAAAGGUACAGCUUUAUUGAAUUAGGGCACAGCCUAUAAUCCCGGGUAAUGACUAUAAUAACUAAGGCUAUCAAACUGGUAGGCCUAAAAGCAGCCACCCAUAAAGAAAGCGUCAAAGCUCACCUGAACAUGAACCAAAAAUUCAAGUAUAACAUCCCAACCCUUAAUCAGUAUUAAGCUAUUCUAUAACAAUAUAGAAUUAACUAUGCUAGAACUAGUAACAAGGGUAAAACACCCUCCAAAAUGCAAGUGUAAAUCAGAUUGAAUAACUCGCUGAUAUUUAACGAAAAGAACAUAUUGUAGCAACCAUACAAGAAAACCCUACAAAACUCCACCGUUAACCUAACACAAGAGCAUUAAUGGAAAGAUUAAAAAGAGCAUAAGGAACUCGGCAAAACUAAGCCCCGCCUGUUUACCAAAAACAUCGCCUCUUGCAAACAAACCACAUAUAAGAGGUCUAGCCUGCCCAGUGACAUAUGUUCAACGGCCGCGGUAUUUUGACCGUGCAAAGGUAGCGUAAUCACUUGUCUUUUAAAUAAAGACUAGUAUGAAAGGCAUCACGAGGGCUUAACUGUCUCAUGCACUAGAUCAGUGAAACUAACCUCCCCGUGCAGAGGCGGGGAUGCUAACAUAAGACGAGAAGACCCUAUGGAGCUUAAAAUUAAUAACCAAUUGCUACUUACUCAACCUUCGGGGUUAACAAUCAAGGCAACACAUGGUUACAAAUUUUCGAUUGGGGCGAUCAAGGAGAAUAAAAAAUCCUCAACGAAGAACAGAAUAACACCUUUAACCAAGAAAUACAGCUCUAAGUAAUAGAACAUCUAACUAUCAUUGAUCCAGUAAAUCUGAUCAACGAACCAAGUUACCCUAGGGAUAACAGCGCAAUCCACUUUGAAAGUUCACAUUAACAAGUGGGUUUACGACCUCGAUGUUGGAUCAGGGCAUCCCGGGGGUGCAGCCGCUUCCAAAGGUUCGUUUGUUCAACGAUUAAAGCCCUACGUGAUCUGAGUUCAGACCGGAGAAAUCCAGGUCAGUUUCUAUCUAUGCGGAGCCUUCUUCAGUACGAAAGGACCAAGAAAGCAUGGCCAAUGCAAAAGCAAGCCAUAACCUAUAAAUCAAUGACUAAUCUCAAUUGAAUAGCCCCCAAAAACCUAAACCAAGAUAAGGACUU